This 549-nucleotide unclassified non-coding RNA is filed under the name Hevea brasiliensis (rubber tree). The record is from RNAcentral. Lineage: Eukaryota; Viridiplantae; Streptophyta; Magnoliopsida; Malpighiales; Euphorbiaceae.
CAGCUAGUUUAGUAAGCUCAUCCUGGAUCAUAAUCUUUAUAGACGAUUUUCUGGGCAUGAGAUCGGUAUCAAACCGCUUGGCAAGUUGCUUCAGAAUGUCAGUAAAGGUAGCCGUAUUGAAGUCAACUUCUUUCAGAAUUUCACAAAUCGCAUUUCUAAGUUCAUCAUCACUUGGUCUCAGUUUAUCCUCCUUGCUCUUGUCCUUUCCCUUUACAAUCUUUUUCCCAGUAUUUUCUCUGGGAGUAGACUUCUUUGGCGUUGAAGAUUUUUCUUUAACUACUUCAGUUUUCUUCUUCUUUGAAGAUGCUUUGGGAGUUGCAUCAUCGUUAGCAAUAUGCUUUGAGCUCUUUGAUGAUUUUGAAGGGGUCUUUUUGGGAGGACUUGGUACUUUAGAGACUGCAGGUUUCUUGGUCUUAGCUUUCACAGCAGGUUCUUUCUUUGUUGAAGAUUUACUUGAACUCUGCUUAUGCUUUUUCUUGUCCUCCUUAGGCUCCGGCUCUGGCUCAGGCUCAGGCUCAGGCUCUUGCUCAGGCUCAGGCUCAGGCUCAG